UACGAAGGGGGCUAGCGUUGCUCGGAAUCACUGGGCGUAAAGGGUGCGUAGGCGGGUUUUUAAGUCAGAGGUGAAAUCCUGGAGCUCAACUCCAGAACUGCCUUUGAUACUGAAGAUCUUGAGUAUGGGAGAGGUGAGUGGAACUGCGAGUGUAGAGGUGAAAUUCGUAGAUAUUCGCAAGAACACCAGUGGCGAAGGCGGCUCACUGGCCCAUUACUGACGCUGAGGCACGAAAGCGUGGGGAGCAAACAGG
RNAcentral lists this ribosomal RNA (253 nucleotides) under uncultured bacterium. RNAcentral describes it as "partial 16S ribosomal RNA". It matches the Rfam family "Bacterial small subunit ribosomal RNA", at positions 524 to 776 of the family's 1533-position model. The record is from RNAcentral.